Cryphonectria parasitica EP155 is the source of this 105-nucleotide non-coding RNA. The record is from the annotation of a RefSeq genome assembly. Lineage: Eukaryota; Fungi; Ascomycota; Sordariomycetes; Diaporthales; Cryphonectriaceae.
GUCCGUGUAGUAAAGUGGUUAAUACGUCGCAUUGUGGCAUCAACAGCUCUAGUGCUGUUUGAAACGCGGUCUGCGGAGGCCCAUGUUCGAUUCAUGGCACGGACA